RNAcentral lists this ribosomal RNA (231 nucleotides) under uncultured bacterium. RNAcentral describes it as "partial 16S ribosomal RNA". It matches the Rfam family "Bacterial small subunit ribosomal RNA", at positions 104 to 334 of the family's 1533-position model. The record is from RNAcentral.
CGGGGUAGGAGUAACAUGUCGGAACGUACCGAGCAGUGGGGGAUAACUAAUCGAAAGAUUAGCUAAUACCGCAUAUCUUCUGAGGAAGAAAGCAGGGGACCUUUGGGCCUUGCGCUGUUUGAGCGGCCGAUAUCUGAUUAGCUGGUUGGUGGGGUAAAGGCCUACCAAGGCGACGAUCAGUAGCGGGUCUGAGAGGAUGAUCCGCCACACUGGGACUGAGACACGGCCCAG